Molecule: ribosomal RNA, 487 nt
Filed under: uncultured bacterium
Lineage: Bacteria
Description: bacterial SSU rRNA
Rfam family: Bacterial small subunit ribosomal RNA
Source: RNAcentral
AUUGAACGCUGGCGGCAUGCCUUACACAUGCAAGUCGAACGGUAACAGGUCUUCGGAUGCUGACGAGUGGCGAACGGGUGAGUAAUACAUCGGAACGUGCCCGAUCGUGGGGGAUAACGCAGCGAAAGCUGUGCUAAUACCGCAUACGAUCUACGGAUGAAAGCGGGGGAUCGCAAGACCUCGCGCGGACGGAGCGGCCGAUGGCAGAUUAGGUAGUUGGUGGGAUAAAAGCUUACCAAGCCGACGAUCUGUAGCUGGUCUGAGAGGACGACCAGCCACACUGGGACUGAGACACGGCCCAGACUCCUACGGGAGGCAGCAGUGGGGAAUUUUGGACAAUGGGCGCAAGCCUGAUCCAGCCAUGCCGCGUGCAGGAUGAAGGCCUUCGGGUUGUAAACUGCUUUUGUACGGAACGAAAAGCUCUCUCUAAUACAGGGGUGAAUGACGGUACCGUAAGAAUAAGCACGGCUAACUACGUGCCAGCACG